This 207-nucleotide long non-coding RNA is filed under the name Mytilus galloprovincialis (Mediterranean mussel). Lineage: Eukaryota; Metazoa; Mollusca; Bivalvia; Mytilida; Mytilidae. The record is from RNAcentral.
CAAAAUGACACAGAAAUUAACAAGUAUAGGUCACCGUACGGCCUUCAUCAAAGAGCAAAGCCCAUACCGCAUACUCAGCUUCAAAAGGCCCCGAAAUGACAAUGUAACACAAUGCAAACGAGAAAACUAGCGGCCUUAUUUAUGUACAAAAAAUGAACGAAAAACAAAUAUGUAACACAUAAACAAACGACAACCACUGAAUUACAG